This is a non-coding RNA of Notechis scutatus (mainland tiger snake), 1158 nucleotides long. The record is from RefSeq and is a predicted model, not a curated record. NCBI's taxonomy places the organism in Eukaryota, Metazoa, Chordata, Lepidosauria, Squamata, Elapidae.
GGCGAGACUUGACCUUUGGGUUUCAAUCCCAAAGGCCAGCAAUAUAUUAUUGAUAUCACUUUUGUCCUAAUUCAGAAGUCUCAUAAUGCACUUUGAUAGUGAGAUUGAUAUGAAGGGUCUGUUCUUGUUUUGAAUCUUGCCUAUUCAAAAUAUUCUCCCUCCAUACACUUAUGGGAUCUUUGGGUCUAUUCUGUGUUCUGACCCCCAAAGUCACCUCUUGGUAAAGAGAAGCUACUACUUGACAGCAGGACUGUUGCUUUCAAGAUGGAUGGUCUGGCUUAGCAGAGGAAUAUUAUAGUUAACUUACCCACCUACCAAGCUGAAAACAAGACUGUACAAACUGUGAACCACAAUAAUAAUCAGCUUCAAUUCUUUUUCAUCCAGGAGUUUAUUGGUUAUAUUUUAAAUUUAAACAACAUUGUACAACCUCAGCCCCAUACUUAGAACAGAAAUGAAUGUACUUUCUUUAUUCUGUAUCUAUACUGAGCAUCAAUGUCCUUCUUCACUAUUACUUCUCUCCAUCCUUUCAAAUAUCUGGAUCCUUUUUAAUCUGAAAAAUGAAUGUGAAAUUUUAGUCUGAAAAAUUAUAAAAUUUAUUAUAAAAUAGACACCAAAAUUGCUAGGGCAAAAUUAUUAGGAUGAAAUGAAAGAUGAAAACAGUCAUCCCUGGUCCAGCAAGAGACUUCUUUUAUUCUUAAAUUCAUUCAUUCUCUCUGUGACUGUAUCUCCAUCAUCUCUAGUCCAAUAAAGAUGAGAAAGCAAUUGUUAAGUGUUACUUCAUCUAAAUAAACUUAUGUCUUACUAAAACUGUUCUUAUAAUCUGGCAAACCCUUUUUUCGUAAUCAAGCAGCAGCUGAAUAAUUGAAAAAUAAUUUCUCAUUUUGCAGCUGAUGGACAUUGUUUAUUUUUUUUAUGGGCCAACAAUACCUCUAACAGAAUUGUGGACGCAUUUGCCGUAUCUUCUGUAGAAAUGGAACUGUCUUUGAACAGCAAUCUAGCCCUACCCUUUGUUGAGAGAACAAGGUUGUCCACCCAAAGGUAAAAGGAAGGAUUUAUCGCCAUCCAGGUGCAUUUAAAAGACGAAAAGGGUGCUAAAGGUCAAGAUGGUAGCCAUCGCCACAGUGUUUUUUACGUCUUUAUUUACACCUAUUACAUGUG